UACGAAGGGUGCAAGCGUUGUUCGGAAUUAUUGGGCGUAAAGCGUGCGUAGGCGGAUACAUAUGUCGAUUGUGAAAGCCCUGGGCUCAACCUAGGAAUUGCAGUCGAAACUGUGUUUCUUGAAUGCCUGAGAGGAUGGCGGAAUAACCGGUGUAGUAGUGAAAUACGUAGAUAUCGGGAAGAACACCUGAGGCGAAGGCGGCUAUCUGGCAGUGCAUUGACGCUGAGGCACGAAAGCGUGGGGAGCAAACAGG
This 253-nucleotide ribosomal RNA is filed under the name uncultured bacterium. Its description in RNAcentral is "partial 16S ribosomal RNA". It matches the Rfam family "Bacterial small subunit ribosomal RNA", at positions 524 to 776 of the family's 1533-position model. The record is from RNAcentral.